GAGUAACUCACCCCAUGAGUAGGGGGGCGCAUAAGAAGCAGCUAGAGUAACUCUACUCUGUCAUCAAUAAACAAUCUGACAGCACAAAAACUAAAGCUAGAGGAUUGAAAAUAGAUGAGAAACCUUUUCUCUAAUGUAGAGGCCAGAGCAGCUACAAAACACAGUACUUGUUCUUUUUAAGAGCCUCGACUGGAGAAGAAAGCUCCACUGCAUUUUUUUUU
This is a long non-coding RNA of Cannabis sativa, 221 nucleotides long. RefSeq lists it as uncharacterized. The record is from RefSeq and is a predicted model, not a curated record. NCBI's taxonomy places the organism in Eukaryota, Viridiplantae, Streptophyta, Magnoliopsida, Rosales, Cannabaceae. The transcript has 2 exons.